This 253-nucleotide ribosomal RNA is filed under the name uncultured bacterium. Its description in RNAcentral is "partial 16S ribosomal RNA". It matches the Rfam family "Bacterial small subunit ribosomal RNA", at positions 524 to 776 of the family's 1533-position model. The record is from RNAcentral.
UACGUAGGGGGCAAGCGUUGUCCGGAAUCAUUGGGCGUAAAGAGCGUGUAGGCGGCCAGAUAAGUCCGCUGUGAAAUCUCGAGGCUCAACUUCGAGCUGUCGGUGGAAACUGUCUGGCUAGAGUCCGGAAGAGGAGAAUGGAAUUCCCGGUGUAGCGGUGAAAUGCGCAGAUAUCGGGAAGAACACCCGUGGCGAAGGCGGUUCUCUGGGACGGUACUGACGCUGAGACGCGAAAGCGUGGGGAGCAAACAGG